This 375-nucleotide ribosomal RNA is filed under the name uncultured archaeon. RNAcentral's name for it is "bacterial SSU rRNA". It matches the Rfam family "Archaeal small subunit ribosomal RNA", at positions 348 to 728 of the family's 1478-position model. The record is from RNAcentral.
CUUUACCAUGCGGGCAACCGUGAUAAGGAAACCCGAGUGCCAGCACAGGCUGGCUGUCCGCCAGUUUAAAUAACUGGUGAAGAAAGGGCCGGGCAAGACCGGUGCCAGCCGCCGCGGUAAUGCCGGCGGCUCGAGUGGUGGCCGCUAUUACUGGGUCUAAAGGGUCCGUAGCCGGUUUGGUCAGUCUUCCGGGAAAUCUGACGGCUCAACCGUUAGGCUUUCGGGGGAUACUACCAGGCUUGGGACCGGGAGAGGUAAGAGGUACUACGGGGGUAGGAGUGAAAUCUUGUAAUCCCCUGUGGGACCACCAGUGGCGAAGGCGUCUUACCAGAACGGUCCGACGGUGAGGGACGAAAGCUGGGGGCACGAACCGGA